This 6105-nucleotide long non-coding RNA is filed under the name Ananas comosus (pineapple). RNAcentral describes it as "long non-coding RNA (ACOM_LNC029062)". The record is from RNAcentral. Lineage: Eukaryota; Viridiplantae; Streptophyta; Magnoliopsida; Poales; Bromeliaceae.
ACUUUGUUCGAUUGAAUGAGAAAAAGUACUAGUUGCAAAGUUAUACUGUUGGGGCGCAACAGAGUAGUCUACUGUUGUUCCGGUUUUGGUUCUUGUUAAGGUUGACAUCGAUUCAUUCCAAAUUUACACUCUCGGGGCAUAAUAGGACAAUAUAAUUAGGUUUUACUCUUUGUUCGAUAGAAUGAGAAAAAGUACUCAUUGCAAAGUUCUACUGUUAGGGCGCAACUGAAUAGCGUUAUGUUGUUACGGUUUUGGUUCUUGUGAACGUUGACAUCGAUUCGUUCGAAAUUACAACUCUCGCGGCAUAAUUGAACAAUAUAAUUAGGUUUUACACUUUGUUCAAUAGAAUGAGAAAAAGUACUCGUCGCAAAGUUAUACUGUUGGGGCGCAACUAAGUAGUCUAAUGUUGUUCCGGUUUUGGUUCUUGUGAACGUUGACAUCGAUUCGUUCCAAAUUUACACUCUCGGGGCAAAAUAGGACAAUAUAAUUAAGUUUUACGCUUUGUUCGAUCGAAUGAGAAAAUGUACGCGUUGCAAAUUUAUACUGUUAGGGCGCAGCUGGGUAGUCUAAUGUUGUUCCGGUUUCGGUUCAUGUGAAGGUUGACAUCGAUUCGUUCCAAAUGUACACUCUUGGGGCAUAAUAGAACAAUAUAAUUAGCUUUUACACUUUGUUCAAUCGAAUGGAAAAAAAUACUCGUUGCAAAGUUAUACUGUUAGGGCGCAGCUUAGUAGUCUAAUGUUGUUCCGGUUUUGGUUCUUGUGAAGGUUGACAUCGAUUCGUUCUAAAUUUACACUCGCGGGGCAUAAUAGAACAAUAUAAUUAGCUUUUACACUUUGUUCGGUCGAAUGGGAAAAAGUACUCGUUGCAAAGUUAUACUGUUAGGGCGGAACUGAGUAGACUAUUGUUGUUCCGGUUUUGGUUCUUGUGAAGGUUGACAUCGAUUCGUUCCAAAUUUACACUCUUGGGGCAUAAUAGAACAAUAUAAUUAGUUUUUACACUUUGUUCGAUUGAUUAAGAAAAAGUACUAGUUGCAAAGUUAUACUGUUGGGGCGCAACAGAGUAGUCUAUUGUUGUUCCGGUUUUGAUUCUUGCUAAGGUUGACAUCGAUUCGUUCCAAAUUUACACUCUCGGGGCAUAAUAGAACAAUAUAAUUUGGUUUUACUCUUUGUUCGAUAGAAUAAGAAAAAGUAGUCAUUGCAAUGUUAUACUGUUAGGGCGCCACUGAAUAGUCUAAUAUUGUUCCGGUUUUGGUUCUUGUGAACGUUGACAUCGAUUCGUUCGAAAUUACAACUCUCGGGGCAUAAUUGAACAAUAUAAUUAGGUUUUACUCUUUGUUCGAUAGAAUGAGAAAAAGUACUCGUCGCAAAGUUAUACUGCUAGGGCGCAACUGAGUAGUCUAAUGUUGUUCCGAUUUUGGUUCUUGUGAACGUUGACAUCGAUUCGUUCCAAAUUUACACUCUCGGGGCACAAUUGAACAAUAUAAUUAGGUUUUACUCUUUGUUCGAUAAAAAGAGAAAAAGUACUCGUUGCAAAGUUAUACUGUUAGGGCGCAACAGAGUAGUCUAAUGUUGUUCCGGUUUUCGUUCUUGUGAACGGUGACAUCGAUUCGUUCCAAAUUUACACUCUCGGGNCUGGGAACUUGUUGUACACAAUCUCGUCGUUGUGCCUUGGGCGGACAGGGGAGGUACUGUCCGUACGGCGGUCCGCCGCCGUGCCCGAACCGAACCAAAUUGGUAUCGGCCUCGGGGCGGGGGCGUGACAGAAAAAUUACUAGUUGCAAAGUUAUACUGUUGGGGCGCAACAGAGUAGUCUAUUGUUGUUCCGGUUUUGGUUAUUGUUAAGGUUGACAUCGAUUCGUUUCAAAUUUACACUCUCGAGGCAUAAUAGAACAAUAUAAUUAGGUUUUACUCUUUGUUCGAUAGAAUGAGAAAAAGUACUCAUUGCAAAGUUAUACUGUUAGGGCGCAACCGAAUAGUCUAAUGUUGUUCCGGUUUUGGUUCUUGUGAACGCUGACAUCAAUUGGUUCGAAAUUACAACUCUCGGGGCAUAAUUGAACAAUAUAAAUUAGGUUUUACUCUUUGUUCGAUAGAAUGAGAAAAAGAACUCGUCGCAAAGUUAUACUGCUAGGGGGCAACUGAGUAGUCUAAUAUUGUUCCGGUUUUGGUUCUUGUGAACGUUGACAUCGAUUCGUUCCAAAUUUACACUCUCGGGGCAUAAUAGAACAAUACAAUUAAGUUUUACUCUUUGUUCGAUCGAAUGAGAAAAAGUACUCGUUGCAAAUUUAUAAUAUUAGGGCGCAGCUGAGUAGUCUAAUGUUGUUCCGGUUUUGGUUCUUGUGAAGGUUGACAUCGAUUCGUUCCAAAUUUACACUCUUGGGGCAUAAUAGAACAAUAUAAUUAGCUUUUACACUUUGUUCGAUCGAAUGGGAAAAAAGUACUCGUUACAAAGUUAUACUGUUAGGGCGCAACUGAGUAGUCUAUUGUUAUUCCAGUUUUGGUUCUUGUGAAGGUUGACAUCGAUUCGUUCCAAAUUUACACUCUCGGGGCAUAAUAGAACAAUAAAAUUAGCUUUUACACUUUGUUCGAUUGAAUAAGAAAAAGUACUAGUUGCAAAGUUAUAUUGUUGGGGUGCAACAGAGUAGUCUAUUGUUUUUCCGAUUUUGGUUCUGGUGAAGGUUGAUAUCGAUUCGUUCCAAAUUUACACUCUCGGGGCAUAAUGAAUAAAAUAAAUAGCUUUUACACUUUGUUCGAUUGAAUGAGAAAAAGUACUAGUUGCAAAGUUAUACUGUUGGGGCGCAACAGAGUAGUUUACUGUUGUUCCGAUUUUGGUUCUUGUUAAGGUUGACAUCGAUUCAUUCCAAAUUUACACUCUCGGGGCAUAAUAGAACAAUACAAUUAAGUUUUACUCUUUGUUCGAUCGAAUGAGAAAAAGUACUCGUUGCAAAAUUAUGCUGUUAGGGCGCAACUGAGUAGUCUAGUGUUGUUCCGAUUUUGGUUCUUGUGAAGAUUGACAUCGAUUCGUUCCAAAUUUACACUCUCGGGGCAUAAUAGAACAAUAUAAUUAGCUUUUACACUUUGUUCGAUUGAAUGAGAAAAAGUACUAGUUGCAAAGUUAUACUGUUGGGGCGCAACAGAGUAGUCUAUUGUUGUUCCGGUUUUGGUUCUUGUUAAGGUUGACAUCGAUUCGUUCCAAAUUUACACUCUCGGGGCAUAAUAGAACAAUAUAAUUAGGUUUUACUCUUUGUUCGAUCGAAUGAGAAAAAGUACUCGUUGCAAAGUUAUACUGUUAGGGCGCAACUGAGUAGUCUAAUGUUGUUCCGGUUUUGGUUCUUGUGAACGUUGACAUCGAUUCGUUCGAAUUUACACUCUCGCGGCAUAAUAGAACAAUAUAAUUAGGUUUUACACUUUGUUCGAUAGAAUGAGAAAAAGUACUCGUUGCAAAGUUAUACUGUUAGGGCGCAACUGAGUAGUCUAAUGUUGUUCCGGUUUUGGUUCUUGUGAACGUUGACAUCGAUUCGUUCCAAAUUUACACUCUCGGGGCAUAAUAGAACAAUAUAAUUAGGUUUUACGCUUUGUUCGAUUGAAUGAGAAAAAGUACUCGUUGCAAAGUUAUACUGUUAGGGCGCAACUGAGUAGUCUAAUGUUGUUCCGGUUUUGGUUCUUGUGAACGUUGACAUCGAUUCGUUCCAAAUUUACACUCUCGGGGCAUAAUAGAACAAUAUAAUUAGNNNNNNNNNNNNNNNNNNNNNNNNNAGAUCGAUUCGUUCCAAAUUUACACUCUCGGGGCAUAAUAGGAAGUUUUUACUUCUUGUUCGAUAGAAUAAGAAAAAGUACUCAUCGCAAAGUUAUACUGUUAUGGCGCAACUGAGUAGUCUAAUGUUGUUCCGGUUUUGGUUCUUGUCAACGUUGACAUCGAUUCGUUCUAAAUUUACACUCUCGACGCUUGAACAAUAUAAUUAGGUUUUACUCUUUAUUCGAUUGAAUGAGAAAAAGGACUAGUUGCAAUGUUAUACUGUUAGGGCUCAACUGAGUAGUCUAACGUUCUUCCGGUUUUGGUUCUUGUGAACGCUGACAUUGAUUCGUUCCGAAUUUACACCCUUGGGGCAUAAAAGAAAGCUUUUACUCCUUGUUCGAUGAUUGAGAAAAAGUACUCAUUGCAAAGUUAUACUGUUAUGGCGCAAUAGAGUAGUCUAAUGUUGUUCCGGUUUUGGUUCUUGUGAACAUUGACGUCAAUUAGUUCCAAAUUUACACUCUCGGGGCAUAAUAGAACAAUAUUAUUAUGUUUUACGCUUUAUUCGAUUGAACGAGAAAAAGUACUCGUCGCAAAGUUAUUCUAUUAGGCGCAACUGAGUAGUCUAAUGUAGUUCCGGUUAUGGUACUUGUGAACGUUGACAUCGAUUCGUUCCAAAUUUACACUCUCGGGGCAUAAUAGAAAGCUUUUACUCCUUGUUCAAUAGAAUUAGAAAAAGUACUCGUUGCAAAGUUAAACUGUUAAGGCACACAGAGUAGUCUAUUGUUGUUCCGAUUUUGGUUCUUGUCAACGUUGACAUCGAUUCGUUCCAAAUUUACACUCUUGGGGUAUAAUAGAACAAUAUAAUUAGGUUUUACUCUUUAGUCGAUUGAAUGAGAAAAAGUACUAGUUGCAAUGUAAUACUAUCAGGGCUCAACUGAGUAGUCUAACGUUGUUUCUGUUUUGGUUCUUGUGAACGUUGACAUCGAUUCGUUCAAAAUUUACACUCUCGGGGAAUAAUAAAAAGCUUUUACUCCUUACUCGAAACAAUGAGAAAAAGUACACGUUGCAAAGUUAUGCUAUUAUGGCGCAACAGAGUAGCCUAAUGUAGUUCCGGUUUUGGUUCUUGUCAACGUUGACAUCGAUUCGUUCCAAAUAUACACUCUCGGGGCAUAAUAGAACAAUAUCGUUUGGUUUUACUCUUUAUUCGAUUGAAUGAGAGAAAGUACUCGUUGCAAAGUUAUACUGUUAUGGCAAAACUGAGUAGUCAAAUUUAGUUCCUGUUUUGGUUCUUGUGAACUUUGACUUCGAUUCGUUCCAAAUUUAUACUCUCGAGGCAUAAUAGAACAAUAUUAUUAGUUUUGCUAUUUGUUCGAUUGAAUGAGAACAAGUUCUAGUUGCAAAGUUAUACUGUCAAGGCUCAACUGAGUAGUCAAACGUUGUUCCGGUUUUGGUUUUUGUGAACGUCAACAUCGUUACGUUGCAAAUUUACACUCUCGGGGCAUAAUAGAAAGCUUUUACACCUUGUUCGAUAGAAAGAGAAAAAGUACUCGUUGCAAAAUUAUAUUGUUAUGGCGCAACAGAGUAGUCUAAUGUUAUUUCAGGUUUGGUUCUUGUGAACAUUGACAUCGAUUCAUACCAAAUUUACACUCUCGGUGCAUAAUAGAACAACAUAAGUAGGUUUUGCUCUUUGUUCGAUUGAAUGAGAAAAAGUACUAGUUGCAAUCUUAUACUGUUAGGGCUCAACUGAGUUGUCUAACGUUGUUUCGGUUUUGGUUCUCGUGAACGUUGACAUCGAUUCNNNNNNNNNNNNNNNNNNNNNNNNNAUACUGUUAUGGCGCAACUGAGUAGUCUAAUGUUGUUCCAGUUUUGGUUCUUGUGAACGUUGACAUCGAUUCGUUCCAAAUUAAAACUCUCCGGUAAUAAUAGAACAAUAUAAUUAGGUUUUGCUCUUUGUUCGAUUGAAUGAGAAAAAAUACUAGUUGCAAAGUUAUACUGUUAGGGCUCAACUGAGUAGUCUAACGUUGUUCCGGUUUUAGUUCGUGCGAACGUUGACAUUGAUUCGCUCCAAAUUUACACUCUCGGGGCAUAAUAGAUAGCUUUUACUCCUUAUUCGAUAGAAUUAGAAAAAGUACUCGUUGCAAAGUUAAACUGUUAAGGCGCAACUGAGUAGUCUAGCGUUGUUCCAGUUUUGGUUCUUGUGAACGUUGACAUCGAUUCGUUCCAAAUUUACACUCUCGGGGUAUAAUAGAACAAUAUAAUUAGGUUUUACUCUUUGUUCAAUUGAAUAAGAAAAAGUACUGGUUGCAAUGUCAUACUGUUAGGGCUCAACUGAGUAGUCUAACGUUCUUCCGAUUUUGGUUCUCGUGAACGUUG